UAGGGAAUCUUCGNCAAUGGACGGAAGUCUGACCGAGCAACGCCGCGUGAGUGAAGAAGGUUUUCGGAUCGUAAAGCUCUGUUGUAAGAGAAGAACGAGUGUGAGAGUGGAAAGUUCACACUGUGACGGUAUCUUACCAGAAAGGGACGGCUAACUACGUGCCAGCAGCCGCGGUAAUACGUAGGUCCCGAGCGUUGUCCGGAUUUAUUGGGCGUAAAGCGAGCGCAGGCGGUUAGAUAAGUCUGAAGUUAAAGGCUGUGGCUUAACCAUAGUACGCUUUGGAAACUGUUUAACUUGAGUGCAAGAGGGGAGAGUGGGAUUCCAUGUGUAGCGGUGAAAUGCGUAGAUAUAUGGAGGAACACCGGUGGCGAAAGCGGCUCUCUGGCUUGUAACUGACGCUGAGGCUCGAAAGCGUGGGGAGCAAACAGGAUUAGAUACCCUGGUAGUCCACGCCGUAAACAAAAAAAGGGGGGGUGUAAAACAUUUCCGGGGGUUGGGGGGGCAAAAAAAAAAAAAAAACCCCCCCCGCGGGGGGGGGGCGCCGGGGGAGG
Molecule: ribosomal RNA, 551 nt
Filed under: uncultured bacterium
Lineage: Bacteria
Description: partial 16S rRNA
Rfam family: Bacterial small subunit ribosomal RNA
Source: RNAcentral